AGAGUUUGAUCCUGGCUCAGAUUGAACGCUGGCGGAAUGCUUUACACAUGCAAGUCGAACGGCAGCAUAGGUGCUUGCACCUGAUGGCGAGUGGCGAACGGGUGAGUAAUACAUCGGAACGUGCCCGGUCGUGGGGGAUAACGUAGCGAAAGUUACGCUAAUACCGCAUACGAUCUACGGAUGAAAGCGGGGGACCGUAAGGCCUCGCGCGAUUGGAGCGGCCGAUGUUAGAUUAGGUAGUUGGUGGGGUAAAGGCUCACCAAGCCGACGAUCUAUAGCUGGUCUGAGAGGAUGAUCAGCCACACUGGGACUGAGACACGGCCCAGACUCCUACGGGAGGCAGCAGUGGGGAAUUUUGGACAAUGGGCGCAAGCCUGAUCCAGCCAUUCCGCGUGCAGGACGAAGGCCUUCGGGUUGUAAACUGCUUUUGUACAGAACGAAAAGCUCUGGGUUAAUACCCUGGGGUCAUGACGGUACUGUAAGAAUAAGCACCGGCUAACUACGUAGGAGCAGCCGCGGUAAU
Molecule: ribosomal RNA, 523 nt
Filed under: uncultured bacterium
Lineage: Bacteria
Description: bacterial SSU rRNA
Rfam family: Bacterial small subunit ribosomal RNA
Source: RNAcentral